GGUCUUACUGACUUUAAGAAUGAAGUUGCGGACUUUUGCGGUGAGUAUUACAGCUUUUAAGGUGGCGCGUCUGGAGUUUGUUCUUUCUGAUGUUUGGAUGUGUUUGGAAUUUCUUCUUUCUGGUGGGUUUGUGGUCUUGCUGGCUUAGGAGUGAAGCUGCAGACUUUCGUGGUGAUCCACCCUACCACAUAUUGUCUCCUAAUGGCCGUCCAGUUUAUCCUGGAGCCCUUGCAUGACACAGGCCUAUCGAAGCAUAGGAGAUGCCAAUAUUUUACCUCUUGGGUACUUUCUGUGUAGAAGAUUCAUAACAAGAACAAUACUUAUUCUGCAAUUCUUUAUAUAAAGUAAGAAGAAAGCCCAAAGACAAAACCAGAGGCAACUGGCUGCUGCAUCGCCCACCUAGUGGCAGUAGUGUGAGCUAUGGACAAAAGAUCUAAGUCUCCAGGACAAAGAGUUGUGCAGCUGCUCAUUUUCCUGUUGACUUCUGUCUAAGACUUGGAGAUGUUUGUAAGAUUGGGACCUACCUACAGAGGUAUCACACUCCUCUUGGUCUAACUCACUCUUGAACUGACAUUCGUGGUGAAUUUCUUUUGUCACUUAGCAUAUUAGAAGAGAUGUUUUACUAUAAUUCUCACAAUCAAUCCAUAAGCAAGUGGUUAAAGGCCUUUUUGUACUUAGUUAU
This 682-nucleotide long non-coding RNA is filed under the name Homo sapiens (human). Its description in RNAcentral is "HSALNT0374212". Lineage: Eukaryota; Metazoa; Chordata; Mammalia; Primates; Hominidae. The record is from RNAcentral.